RNAcentral lists this long non-coding RNA (924 nucleotides) under Nicotiana benthamiana. RNAcentral's name for it is "long non-coding RNA (NBEN_LNC036655)". Lineage: Eukaryota; Viridiplantae; Streptophyta; Magnoliopsida; Solanales; Solanaceae. The record is from RNAcentral.
GAUGGCUUUACAACAGUUUAUUCCACACACAUGCUUAACCGAGGACACACCUUUACACAUCUAUGAACUUUUCCCAAUGUUGAAGUGUCGAGUACCAUAUCCACUCCAUUUACAAGCACACAGAUAUGAUCCUCAUCAACAGUGAAGAGAGAUGUGUAGAAGGGUUGUACUACAUCUUUAUACACCAAAGGCAUGCUCCCCUCAAACUGGUGUUCCUACUAUUAAAAUUUGACAAUAUCGAGAAUUUUUCUCAUGCAUGCCAUCUCCAAAAUUGCUGGAUCAAAUGUUCGGCCCCACAACUCCAUUUGAGUUCUUAAUCUCUGCUGCCACAAAACACCAUCACAUAUCAUGGAACUUGUUGAACAAGGUUCCCUAACUGUUUCCCCUUUUUGUUUGCUAGACCUUUCGACACACUUUCCUUUUCAGCUUGUUGUUUCUACAGUAUUGCCCUCAUACACUGCUAGCUCAGUUUGACAUCGUUUGGACUUGAUGUUGUACUUCACAAAUUAAAGUUUCUAUUCCUCAACAAUUUCCUUAAUUUUAAUAGAUUAUUUUACUAAGGAACAAGGUUCCCUAGAAGCAUCUUUGUUUGUUCUGUUUACUGACACACUCUUGAUGAAAUCCUUUGGAUUCAUUUUCCUCUUUUUCCUUGUCUUGACACUCCUCUUACUUUUCUGCAAUGAGUAUUCAAAACUCUCUUGCUGUAGUGACCUGGUAGUGGGUGACUUGGAUGAAUACUCUACGAUCUUGGAGUUAAUAGGAGGUGCAGGAGUGAGUCUGCAUAGAAGUGAAUCAUGUUCAUCAGAAGGCUUUUCUAAGAACAUCUCAUAAGCCAAUAAUUCAAGAAGUGUUGUGGUUCUUACAUCUCCUAGGAAUGGAAUUUCUUCCCCCUGUUACUCAAAAGAGAAAUAUGUUCCUUUAUCC